AAAAUGAUGAGAAUUAUAUCAGUUUGUCAAAAAAUAGAAUUACUUGAGAGUAAAAACCUACUUGUCUAUGCGUAUGAUAUAAUGGUAAUUGGUGGUUCAUGUGUAGAAGUUAUAACAAAAAUGGCAGACUUUGUAUUGGCACUUAAGCCUAUAGGCCACGAGGUUAAAAUUAGUUAAAUCUAAGGGUUUCAGCAGCUAAUAAAGAUUAUUUUACAUUGGGAAAAUGAUUAAAUCCAAGUUAUUAUCUAUAAGAUCAAAAUUAACCCUUUACUCAAGCUAUCUAUGACCAGAAUAUCAUAGAUGCAAAACAUGGUUGGUUAUAAAGAGUGAUAAAGAAAAAUACUGUGAUA
Cinara cedri is the source of this 350-nucleotide non-coding RNA. The record is from the annotation of a GenBank genome assembly. Lineage: Eukaryota; Metazoa; Arthropoda; Insecta; Hemiptera; Aphididae.